GACAGAGGGGGCAAGCGUUGCUCGGAAUCACUGGGCGUAAAGGGCGCGUAGGUGGUUUGAUAAGGGUGUGGUGAAAGUCCGGGGCUCAACCCCGGAUCUGCCGUGCCGACUGUCAAACUCGAGGACUGUAGAGGCAGACGGAAUUCCGGGUGUAGCGGUGGAAUGCGUAGAUAUCGGGAGGAACACCAGUGGCGAAGGCGAUCAUCUGGGGUUGUUCUGACGCUGAGGAGCGAAAGCUAGGGGAGCAAACGGG
RNAcentral lists this ribosomal RNA (253 nucleotides) under uncultured bacterium. Its description in RNAcentral is "partial 16S ribosomal RNA". It matches the Rfam family "Bacterial small subunit ribosomal RNA", at positions 524 to 776 of the family's 1533-position model. The record is from RNAcentral.